Molecule: non-coding RNA, 85 nt
Organism: Ustulina deusta
Lineage: Eukaryota; Fungi; Ascomycota; Sordariomycetes; Xylariales; Xylariaceae
Source: the annotation of a GenBank genome assembly
UCUCGAUUGGUCUAGUGGUGAGGAUACCUGCUUGUCAUUCUUAAACGAACCGCAGGUGGCCGGGGUUCGAUUCCCCGAUCGAGAG